This 385-nucleotide long non-coding RNA is filed under the name Rattus norvegicus (Norway rat). RNAcentral describes it as "long non-coding RNA NONRATT011046". Lineage: Eukaryota; Metazoa; Chordata; Mammalia; Rodentia; Muridae. The record is from RNAcentral.
UUAUGGGGACCCUUUCCCCCAUUUUCCCUGGAGCUCUCUCGGGGCGGGGCGUUCCUUGCCCCUAAUUGAUGGUUGUGUCAUUGCUUUUUGUCUCACCUCUGCACACAGCAGUAGCCACCCCCACAGAGGCAGAAGACAGGUAUGGCUGCCAUGCUCAGCUGGCCACUGGGGAAGCCAGCCAAGUGUGUCUUUCUUGGCUUGUCUGCUAGGUCCUAUUUUGUUGGCUCAGCACAGCCUAACUAUCCAGAAUGGGAGUUUGGCUGACCCUGAAGGUCUUCCUACCUUAAUGUGUCCCACAGGUGGGUAGUAUGGAGUCUGGAGCCUCUACCUGCCUCCCCGGACAGGGCUUGCGUUACCUGGAACACCUGUGCCUUGUGCUGGAGCA